ACGUGAUCUGAGUUCAGACCGGAGUAAUCCAGGUCAGUUUCUAUCUAUAAGGAGCUUUUUUUAGUACGAAAGGACCAAAAAAGCAUGGCCCAUGUUAUCAACAAGCCAUCUCUACUAACUCAUGUUUUAAACUUAACCCGUAUUUAGUCCCUCUCUCUGUUCAAGAAAAGAACA
RNAcentral lists this ribosomal RNA (174 nucleotides) under Eupsophus roseus (rosy ground frog). Its description in RNAcentral is "partial 16S ribosomal RNA". The record is from RNAcentral. Lineage: Eukaryota; Metazoa; Chordata; Amphibia; Anura; Alsodidae.